This 397-nucleotide ribosomal RNA is filed under the name uncultured bacterium. RNAcentral describes it as "bacterial SSU rRNA". It matches the Rfam family "Bacterial small subunit ribosomal RNA", at positions 29 to 429 of the family's 1533-position model. The record is from RNAcentral.
AUUGAACGCUGGCGGACUGCUUUACACAUGCAAGUCGAGCGGCAGCGCGGGGGCAACCCUGGCGGCGAGCGGCGAACGGGUGAGUAACAUAUCGGAACGUACCCAGUCGUGGGGGAUAACUAUCCGAAAGGAUAGCUAAUACCGCAUACGUCCUGAGGGAGAAAGCGGGGGAUCGCAAGACCUCGCGCGAUUGGAGCGGCCGAUAUCGGAUUAGCUAGUUGGUGGGGUAAAGGCUCACCAAGGCGACGAUCCGUAGCGGGUCUGAGAGGAUGAUCCGCCACACUGGGACUGAGACACGGCCCAGACUCCUACGGGAGGCAGCAGUGGGGAAUUUUGGACAAUGGGCGCAAGCCUGAUCCAGCCACGCCGCGUGAGUGAAGAAGGCCUCGGUUGUAAG